GAUGAAGAACGUAGCGAAAUGCGAUAAGUAAUGUGAAUUGCAGAAUUCAGUGAAUCAUCGAAUCUUUGAACGCACAUUGCGCCCGCUAGUAUUCUGGCGGGCAUGCCUGUCCGAGCGUCAUUUCAACCCUCAAGCCCCCGGGCUUGGUGUUGGGGAUCGGCGAGCCUCCGCGCCCGCCGUCCCCUAAAUCUAGUGGCGGUCUCGCUGUAGCUUCCUCUGCGUAGUAGCACACCUCGCACUGGGAAACAGCGCGGCCACGCCCUUAAACCCCCAACUUCUGAACGUUUGACCUCGGAUCAGGUAGGAAUACCCGCUGAACUUAAGCAUAUCAAUAAGCGGAGGA
RNAcentral lists this unclassified non-coding RNA (343 nucleotides) under soil metagenome. RNAcentral's name for it is "partial contains 5.8S ribosomal RNA, internal transcribed spacer 2, and large subunit ribosomal RNA". The stretch from base 1 to 120 matches the Rfam family "5.8S ribosomal RNA", at positions 35 to 154 of the family's 154-position model. The record is from RNAcentral.